Molecule: long non-coding RNA, 2768 nt
Filed under: Lynx pardinus (Iberian lynx)
Lineage: Eukaryota; Metazoa; Chordata; Mammalia; Carnivora; Felidae
Source: RNAcentral
GUUCCACCCCAGGCAGGGGGACACCCUGGAGGCUUCCAGCCACUUGGCAUCUCCUCAGUGGUGGGGCUGAGUAGUGAGGCAGGGGGCUGGGCGGCUUCCCCAGAAACGCGGGAUGGUCAGUGAGCGGCACAGUCCCUUGCAUUUUCUGGGGUGUUCUGUGGUUUGUUCCUCAUUUCCCCUGCCGCUUUGUGAACAAGAUGUAUUUCACUCAAGGAUCCGUGGAUUCAGGGGGUCCUGGGACGCCACGUCCGAGAGGCUGGGGUUGGUUUGUUCCAGGUUCAGGCUUGCUUUGGGGGAGAAAUCCUGACACAAAUUCGGAGGAACAGGAGCCGCAUUCAGUUGGGAAGUGAAGAAGCCAAAUGUUGACUCUCAGGACCUUCUAGAAGAAUGAACUGGGAACCACUCUCUGGGUCCUGCCGGAACCAGAGCCCGAGGUAAAAACGCGAUGUGCCCUCCACAUCAUACAUGAUUUUAGUAAUGUUCAGUGGGGAUUUUUUCCCAACAAUGUUGUAGUUGUUGAAAACAACUGGAAAACUGACAGGUAAGUUGUGUCGGGAACCUCCCGUUAUUUGAAUGUUCAGUAUUAUUCCUGCAACAGAAUUUGUUAUGGUUGUCCUCUGUUGUCUUCGUUGGAAGGAGUCUCAUCAAUAAUAUCUUAAAAACAUACUCGUUACCUUUUCCCCUUUUCAGUUGAGAUUUGGCAUGUUUUCUGAUUUCUCAUGAACUCGUGAACAUCUGAAAUACUUUUAAAUUGAUUGCGGUUUUUACUAAAAGCUGAAUCACCGGAUCCCUCUGUGACUGCUGCCGGUCAAAGGACAUACCAAGGCCACUUCUCAGUGUGGGUAAGAUUGUGCUAAGCAAACACUGUGAAUCAAUUUUAUUUUUUUAUUUAUUAAAAAAUAUUUUUUAACGUUUAUUUUUUUUUUAUUUUUUUUUCAACAUUUAUUUAUUUUUGGGACAGAGAGAGACAGAGCAUGAACGGGGGAGGGGCAGAGAGAGAGGGAGACACAGAAUCGGAAACAGGCUCCAGGCUCUGAGCCAUCAGCCCAGAGCCUGACGCGGGGCUCGAACUCACGGAGCACGAGAUUGUGACCUGGCUGAAGUCGGACGCUUAACCGACUGCGCCACCCAGGCGCCCCUAAUGUUUAUUUAUUUUUGAGACAGGGAGAGACAGAGCAUGAACAGGGGAGGGUCAGAGAGAGGGAGACACAAUAUGAAGCAGGCUUCAGGAUCUGAGCUGUCAGCAUAGAGCCCGAAGUGGGGCUCGAAUUCACGGACCGUGAGAUCAUGACCUGAGCCGAAGUUGGACGCUUAACCGACUGAGCCACCCAGGCGCCCCUGUGAAUCAAUUUUAGAAGAAAAAGCCUGAUGGUAUUUUGUCUAUGAAAAUUGACGCUUAGAUUCCCCUGUCUGAUAUAUUUCGACCUUUUUUUUUUUCUUUUUUGCUCAUUUUCUCAUUCAUAGAUUCAUAGACCUGCCUGAGUUUUACAUUCACCACACAUACUUUCAAGGCUCCUUUCUGUCGCUGUAAGAAAGAAGACAGACCUUCUGAUGCACAUGCAAGUUUCUGUAACUUCAAGAUUUGUUGUGUAGGUCUCUGUUACUUUUCCCAACCAGUUGAAAAUAUCAUCCCACCUUGGGUAGAUCCAUAAAAAAUGUAAUCUGUGUGCACCAGUAUGAUUUCAUUUCAUUAUACUGGAUUUCUUCAUUGUAUGUGUAUGUAUGUAAGAUGUUCUUCAUCUUAUGUAUAUGUAUACAUUAGAUGUUUUAGUCCUGAGAAAAUCCCACAUGUAGUUUAAUUUGAAAGAAAAAUGUAUAUCCUAUACAUUUUGCAUAUUAAAUUCCUAAAUGUAGAUUUUUUGCAAGUGAAAUUAGGGUUGUUUUCUGAGAAAGAUGCAAGGGGAGAAAAACCAUUUCAAGGGGAAAAGAAUGGUGUGUAGUUUUCACAUGUCUGCAGGAGUUACUCAAUUACAUAUGUGUUUACGAGCAGUUUUAUGACAGUGUCCUAUUUUCCAAUUCAUUAAUGAUUUCAUAAGCUACGUAUAUCACUUUUCAUUCCAAGAUUAUAAAAUUAAAACUUCUCUCUUCUGUUGCUAUGAGAGUAUUUCCAUUUUGUAUUAAUUUGUAAAAUUCAAGUGUAAUUAACAUUGGGUUAUGUUUGCUUCAAGGUAUACAGUAUAGUGGUUUAACACUUCUCCUAUGACUCCAUGCUCCUCAAUAUGAGUGUAUUCUUGGGGCGCCUGGGUGGCGCAGUCGGUUAAGCGUCCGACUUCAGCCAGGUCACGAUCUUGCGGUCCGCGAGUUCGAGCCCCGCGUCGGGCUCUGGGCUGAUGGCUCAGAGCCUGGAGCCUGUUUCUGAUUCUGUGUCUCCCUCUCUCUCUGCCCCUCCCCCGUUCAUGCUCUGUCUCUCUCUGUCCCAAAAAUAAAUAAACGUUGAAAAAAAAAAUUUUAAUAAAAUAAAAAAAAAAUAUGAGUGUAUUCUUCAUCUCCUUCCCCUCUUUCACCCACCCCCCACCUUCCUGCCCUCUGGCAAGCACCAGUUUCCUCUCUAAAUUUCAGAGUCGGGUUUUUUUUGGUCUGUCUUCUUUUCUCCAUUUUCUUUGUUUCUUUGUUUUGUUUCCCAAAUUCCAUGUAAAAUGAUGUCAUAUGGUAUUUUUCUUUUAGCGUAGAGCCUCAUGGAGGGCUUGAACUCCCGAACUGUGAGAGCAUGACCUGAGCCCAAAACAAGAGUCGGACGCUUAACUGACUGAGCCACUCAGGCACCUAAG